This 253-nucleotide ribosomal RNA is filed under the name uncultured bacterium. Its description in RNAcentral is "partial 16S ribosomal RNA". It matches the Rfam family "Bacterial small subunit ribosomal RNA", at positions 524 to 776 of the family's 1533-position model. The record is from RNAcentral.
UACGGAAGGGGCUAGCGUUGUUCGGAAUUACUGGGCGUAAAGCGCACGUAGGCGGAUUGUUAAGUCGGGGGUGAAAUCCCGGGGCUCAACCCCGGAACUGCCUUCGAUACUGGCAAUCUGGAGUCCGAGAGAGGUGAGUGGAAUUCCGAGUGUAGAGGUGAAAUUCGUAGAUAUUCGGAGGAACACCAGUGGCGAAGGCGGCUCACUGGCUCGGUACUGACGCUGAGGUGCGAAAGCGUGGGGAGCAAACAGG